This 253-nucleotide ribosomal RNA is filed under the name uncultured bacterium. RNAcentral describes it as "partial 16S ribosomal RNA". It matches the Rfam family "Bacterial small subunit ribosomal RNA", at positions 524 to 776 of the family's 1533-position model. The record is from RNAcentral.
GACGAACCGUGCGAACGUUGUUCGGAAUCACUGGGCCUAAAGGGCGCGUAGGCGGGCUCGCAAGUCCGGGGUGAAAGCCCCCAGCUCAACUGGGGAAGUGCCUUGGAUACUGCGGGCCUCGAGGGAGGUAGGGGCGUGCGGAACUUCCGGUGGAGCGGUGAAAUGCGUAGAUAUCGGAAGGAACACCGGUGGCGAAAGCGGCGCGCUGGACCUCUUCUGACGCUGAGGCGCGAAAGCCAGGGGAGCAAACGGG